RNAcentral lists this ribosomal RNA (482 nucleotides) under uncultured bacterium. Its description in RNAcentral is "partial 16S ribosomal RNA". It matches the Rfam family "Bacterial small subunit ribosomal RNA", at positions 30 to 507 of the family's 1533-position model. The record is from RNAcentral.
AUUGAACGCUGGCGGCAUGCCUUACACAUGCAAGUCGAACGGUAACGGGCCUUCGGGUGCCGACGAGUGGCGAACGGGGGAGGAAUACAACGGAACGUGCCCGAUCGCGGGGGAUAACGAGGCGAAAGCUGUGCUAAUACCGCAUACGAUCUACGGAUGAAAGCAGGGGACCGCAAGGCCUUGCGCGGACGGAGCGGCCGAUGGCAGAUUAGGUAGUUGGUGGGAUAAAAGCUUACCAAGCCGACGAUCUGUAGCUGGUCUGAGAGGAUGAUCAGCCACACUGGGACUGAGACACGGCCCAGACUCCUACGGGAGGCAGCAGUGGGGAAUUUUGGACAAUGGGCGCAAGCCUGAUCCAGCCAUGCCGCGUGCAGGAUGAAGGCCUUCGGGUUGUAAACUGCUUUUGUACGGAACGAAAAGCCUUCUUUUAAUACAGGAGGGUCAUGACGGUACCGUAAGAAUAAGCACCGGCUAACUACGUG